GGGUCACAGGGCGCUCCGGCGCCCGGCACCAACCCUUUGUCUCCCGCCCGUCCUUUGGCGAAAAGGGGUUCCCCUCGCGGGGGCCUCUGCCGAAAUCAACCCUGAACAACCUUGCAGCCUGAAGUAAAAAAGCAAAUAGUUAAAACUUUCAACAACGGAUCUCUUGGUUCU
This 171-nucleotide unclassified non-coding RNA is filed under the name rhizosphere metagenome. RNAcentral describes it as "partial ribosomal RNA internal transcribed spacer region". The record is from RNAcentral.